Molecule: long non-coding RNA, 357 nt
Filed under: Vigna radiata
Lineage: Eukaryota; Viridiplantae; Streptophyta; Magnoliopsida; Fabales; Fabaceae
Description: long non-coding RNA (VRAD_LNC012503)
Source: RNAcentral
UUUACUCUACUGGAACGUUCUUUUGGGAAAAAAUUCUUUGCUUGAACCAUGUUUGAAUUAUUGGAUUUUGGAUGAAUGAAUUUUAUUGAGCAUAGCUCAACACCUUUUCUUUGUUUAAUAUAUAUUUUCCCUAGGUUUUCACUCACGUCACGGUGCACUUCCAUUUCAAUUGAAUAGAAGCAUGGAGAAUUUGGUUUCUUUUAGAAGCAUUCGGUGCUAGCACCUGACACGGCCCUAGGGAGCAAAAGCCACCCGUCACUCUUCAGUUUUUUUUGGCUUUGAAUGUUUUCUUUGAAAACGGAAAUGAGUAACAUACGGUGCUUGGAAAAAAGAGGCCAGCCUCCACUUUGAUUUUGC